RNAcentral lists this ribosomal RNA (301 nucleotides) under uncultured bacterium. RNAcentral describes it as "partial 16S ribosomal RNA". It matches the Rfam family "Bacterial small subunit ribosomal RNA", at positions 509 to 809 of the family's 1533-position model. The record is from RNAcentral.
CAGUAGCCGCGGUAAUACGUAGGUGGCAAGCGUUGUCCGGAAUUAUUGGGCGUAAAGCGCGCGCAGGCGGAUCAGUUAGUCUGUCUUAAAAGUUCGGGGCUUAACCCCGUGAUGGGAUGGAAACUGCUGAUCUAGAGUAUCGGAGAGGAAAGUGGAAUUCCUAGUGUAGCGAUGAAAUGCGUAGAUAUUAGGAAGAACACCAGUGGCGAAGGCGACUUUCUGGACGAAAACUGACGCUGAGGCGCGAGAGCCAGGGGAGCGAACGGGAUUAGAUACCCGUGUAGUCCCUGUCUCUUAUACA